RNAcentral lists this long non-coding RNA (522 nucleotides) under Fukomys damarensis (Damara mole-rat). Its description in RNAcentral is "lncRNA (ENSFDAG00000024324.1)". Lineage: Eukaryota; Metazoa; Chordata; Mammalia; Rodentia; Bathyergidae. The record is from RNAcentral.
CAGCACCACACACACGCUAGCCUGAUAGUGGUUCCUAUGUGGACACACGUGGCAUUUGGGGGUGCUUCUUGGCCCUUUGACUAAGUGUAUGUGGUCCCGUCACAGGGCCGGGUUUGUUGCCGUGUGAGUUGGGAAAGAGUCCUGGUGAAAGGAUGCGCCAGAAAGUAGACGGCUCGGUCAGUGUACCCGUCUCCCAGUCGCUUUGUUUGCAGCAUCUUCUUUUACAUUACCUCCGCUUAAAGUUAAACUCCUGGUGUGAGUUGUCUGCAGUGGGAUUGAUGAUGAACUAGCACACGGCUCAUUUAACCCUGGAACAUUGACCCGAGUUGGCUUUUACGAAUCUGUUAAGUACUUUCCCAACCCUGCAAAUCUUUGGGUGCCUUACAUAUCACUUUCUCUUACUGCCUUUCCCUGCUCCUGGGGAUGCAGUGGGGGACAGUGCGAUUCGCUCGAAUAAGCUGACUGUGCAGCUGAGGGUGGAGGGGCAGCUGUUUGUAAUUCACUGGUAAUUUUAAUCGUCUC